AUUGAACGCUGGCGGCAUGCCUAACACAUGCAAGUCGAACGCGAGUAGGGGCAACCUUUCUUGAGUGGCGGACGGGUGCGUAAUACGUAGGAAUCUUCCCUAGAGCGGGGGAUAACCCGGGGAAUCUCGGGCUAAUACCGCAUAAUCUCUACGGAGCAAAGGGGGGUCGCAAGACCUUGCACUUAAGGAUGAGCCUACGUCGGAUUAGCUUGUUGGUGAGGUAAAGGCUUACCAAGGCGACGAUCCGUAGCGGCUCGGAGAGGACGACCAGCCACACUGGGAAUGAGACACGGCCCAGACUCCUACGGGAGGCAGCAGUGGGGAAUAUUGGACAAUGGGGGCAACACUGAUCCAGCAAUGCCGCGUGUGUGAAGAAGGCCUUCGGGUUGUAAAGCACUUUCAGUGGGGAAGAAAUGCUAACGGUUAAUACCCGUUAGCUAUGACGUUACCCAAAGAAGAAGCACCGGCUAACUCUGUGCCAGCCGCCGCGGUAA
RNAcentral lists this ribosomal RNA (494 nucleotides) under uncultured bacterium. RNAcentral's name for it is "partial 16S ribosomal RNA". It matches the Rfam family "Bacterial small subunit ribosomal RNA", at positions 30 to 523 of the family's 1533-position model. The record is from RNAcentral.